Molecule: ribosomal RNA, 253 nt
Filed under: uncultured bacterium
Lineage: Bacteria
Description: partial 16S ribosomal RNA
Rfam family: Bacterial small subunit ribosomal RNA
Source: RNAcentral
UACGUAGGGUGCAAGCGUUGUCCGGAAUUAUUGGGCGUAAAGAGCGUGUAGGCGGCUAGGUAGGUCCGUUGUGAAAACUCGAGGCUCAACCUCGAGACGUCGAUGGAAACCAUCUAGCUAGAGUCCGGAAGAGGAGAGUGGAAUUCCUGGUGUAGCGGUGAAAUGCGCAGAUAUCAGGAAGAACACCCGUGGCGAAGGCGGCUCUCUGGUACGUGACUGACGCUGAGACGCGAAAGCGUGGGGAGCGAACAGG